AUGGCUCAUUUUGCUUAAUUUGCAGCGGCGGGAACACCUCUGCCAGCGCCAGGUCCAGUGCCAUUUUUGCUGGCCCCACCACCGCCUAUGUCUGCUUUUAGCCCCGGAUCAUCUAAGGCGGCGGCGACA
Brassica oleracea var. oleracea is the source of this 129-nucleotide long non-coding RNA. RefSeq lists it as uncharacterized. Lineage: Eukaryota; Viridiplantae; Streptophyta; Magnoliopsida; Brassicales; Brassicaceae. The record is from RefSeq and is a predicted model, not a curated record. The transcript has 3 exons.